CCAGAGGUGGAGGAGGAGGAGAACAAGGAGCAGGAGGAGGAGGAAGAGCAGCAGGAGGAGGAUGAACAUACCCCACAGCUAUUCUCCGUGAAGGGAGAGGAGCAGGAGGUGGUUCUCUGCCCGCAAGAAGACUGCAGGUCCUGUCAGGGCGAGUUUCAGGGCACUGCACAGAGCCAUGGUGAGGAGCCCACUGUGGGAUCCCCACACUCCAAGGAUGUUGCAGCCUCAGAUGAGCAGUGUGAUCCUGCAGAGGGGAGCCCCGCACACACUGAACAGCCUCCAGUUGAAGAGGCUGUGGUCAAGUGCCCCCCAGAGCCCCAGCUGCUUGAGAAUGAGAAUCUGCACAGGGCCCUGGCUUGGGCCUUCACCCCUGAGUCAGUGAUUUCUGCUUUGGAACAGCACUGAGGAGUAGGAAAACAUAGAACCAAUGCUCUGUGCCCUCUUUUCCCCAUUCAGUCCCUGCUUCCCUGUCCCUCCUCUCCUGACCCUCUUCCUGUCAUGUCUAGAGGAGCCACAAAAACUCCACGAAUUUAUUUCUUCCUAAAGAUAUUUGAACUCCAACAAUUCCUUAAAAUGUCAAACAAUGUACAUUUAUUUCAAUAAAAAUGAAAAAA
Cavia porcellus (domestic guinea pig) is the source of this 614-nucleotide long non-coding RNA. RefSeq lists it as uncharacterized. Lineage: Eukaryota; Metazoa; Chordata; Mammalia; Rodentia; Caviidae. The record is from RefSeq and is a predicted model, not a curated record. The transcript has 3 exons.